GUAAUUAGCAAUUAGUGCCACAAAAUCACAUACAUAGGAUACCCCAUGAAAUAUGCUUCACAGAGCACCCCAAACCUUAGAGGACUCGCCACAAGUCAUGUGGGGUAGGUUAGCACAGGUGACAGAAGGGACUCAAUUUUCCAGUCCAACCUGUUACCGUAAGGACCACACCUUCUCAAAUCUCUGUGCAUCACACUGGUACUCCAUCAGCAGUCCUUGGGCCUUGGGUACAAAAGACUUGACUGCAUUCCUGAUAGAAAUUCCAACCACGCCCUCAUGGUCAUGCAUGCCUGGUGGCAGGACACUUAGUCAUCUCCGCCUAGUCAUUUCCGGGUCAUAUGUCCUUUGUAACCCAUGCCCCAUGGCUACGUGGUCAUGUAAUCAAGCGGACAUGACCACGUGAUCUAUGCACAUGCGUGGAAUAGCCACAUGGACCUGUGUGCGCAGGUGCAUCCUGGCCUUUAUAAGGCGGGCUCCAUCCCCACUCUCUUUCUCGCACAUGUUCUUCCACAGGCCUGAUCACGUCUAUCCCUUUCUCCUUGUCUUGAUAAAACUCUUGUUAGUGGAUUCUGUCAUGUUUUGUGACCUUUUCUUGGGGGUAAGAGCACCGCUAAAAACCUAUCAAUUCCCAGUUUAAUCACUGGCCAACUGCAGGACACUGGGUCAUUAUUUCAUUGACUAUAUUCUCAUCUUUAAAGCAGAUAUGGCCACAUUGUGACCAAGGACCUGUGAGACCAAAUGAAAUAAUACGAUAGGUGCAUGACACAGAGUAGGGACUUAUCGUGUGUGUGUACGUGUGUAAACAUGUGCACAGCUUAGUACCUACUCAAUUCACACUGAGUAUGACAGCGCCUCCACUUUCAUUCUCAAAUUAACCUAUUCCAAUUUAUGUCCACAGUAUACAUUCAGAAGACACAGCAAAUUGGAUCAUGACUUCAUGUGUCUCUUCAAGACACUGAGAACUCUCAAAAAGUCCUUUGAUUCAUCUCUGCUCAGUUUCCUGUGUUAGGACUCAUUCCAACUGCUCAGGAGAAGUGGAUGUUCACAGCUCCUGAGGACAUCUUGUCACAGCUGAAGAUAGGAACCUAGAGAAGUGGCUGCAGAUAAAUGGCCUCGCCAGCAUUUGCUUCCUUCAUCUUAGUCAUUCUGACUGGGAUUCAGGGCCUGUGUUGGGCUACUUGAUCCACUUGGAGUUGAGUUUUGUGCCGAUGAGAGACAAGGAUCCAGUUUCAUCCUCUCAUGUGCUGAUGUCCGUUUUCCCCAGCACUUGCUGAAGAUUCUGUCUUUUCUCCAAUGGAUUUUUAGCAUCUCUGUCAGAAAUCAGGUGGUUGUUGUGACCCUGAGCUACUACCAUCUGAAGAAUGUGUACAGGACUAUGUGUACCUUCCAUAACUAGCACCCCUAGAUCCCCACACUCCAUACCCCUCAGUCCCCAAAACCCAUGUCACAACUAUCUAAAGGUCUGAGCUUGGAGCCAUGUGAGUGUCCUACAGCAAGACCCUGCUAGUUCUGUGGAGGGUUCCUUCCUGUAUUCAGAAGCUGCAUCUAGUUCUAGCUCAGGUGGAACCAUUUUUGGUACCCAAAUCACACAUCAACACAUAAUCACUCCAGGACUGCCUUGAGCACCAUCCCAUUGAUCCUAAACUGUUGAGUUGGAGAGAUCCAACUGCUGUGGGAUGGUCUGUAUGUCAAAUGUGUUGCUGAUUGGUCAAUGAAUAAAUCACUGAUUGGCCCGUGGCCAGGCAGGAAGUAUAGGCGGGACUAACAGAGGAAAAUUGAGAGAACAGGAAGCUGGAGGGGAGACACUGCCAGCCGCCAUCAGGACAAGGAAGAUGUAAAGUACCGGUAAGCCACAAGCCACGUGGCAAGGUAUAGAUUAAUAGAAAUGGAUUAAUUUAAGCUGUAAGAACAGUUAGCAAGAAGCCUGCCACGGCCAUACAGUUUGUAACCAAAAUAAGUCUCUGUGUUUACUUGAUCGGGUUUGAGCGGCUUGGGACUGGCGGGUGAGAGAGAUUUGCCCUGACUGUGGGCCAGGCAGAAAAACUCUAGCUACAAAUGGCAUCCAACGUGGUGGCAAGAGUUUCCACCUAAAACCUGACAAAAAAAGAUUCUAAAAUGGAGCUAAAAACAGUUCCUAAUUGUCUCUCUCAAAUGAGCGGCAGCUGCCGGUUUGAGCUACUGGCGGGUUCCUAGCGUGCGUGCAUGCUCGACCCACCAUAUGGCGGGAAUGAGGCCUCUGCAAGUGGCACAUUAAGCUGCAUUGUGGAUUUAGCCUUUACUAGUACAAAACAAAAAAAAAAAAGGUUUCUGGGCUACACGCUGCUUGGAUAAAAGCAUAGACACACAAUGGCUCCCAGAGCUGGCGGUAAGCAUACCGCCGCCAUGUUGGGAAGCUGAGGUGGGUGGAGCCAGCAGCCACAGCUGCUGCAGCUUAAAGCAACAGAUUCACAAUAAGACAGAUUCAGAUGUAAUAGUUUAAAAUGUGUGUAAAAUAUAUGUAGGCUUAAAAGAGACAAAAAAAGGUGAUAUAUACAGUAUAAAAACAAAUACAUAGUUUUAAAAAAUAAAGUCUUUAAAGAGACAGUAAAAUUAAUAUAAAAAAUAAGCCACGGAAAGAUGAAUAUUACACAGAGAAUCUGGAUUGUGUUGUCUUUGGGAUUCUUAACUACAGAGAGAUAUUUGAUUGUAAAGGAAGCUGAGUUAAACCAAUAUGCGUAUUUUAAAGGUACCUUGACUUCAAAAUUUGGAUAUAAGGAUAUGUUGCUUUGGAAAGGAGAUUCUGCUUUUGUUUCCACAGAAAGCCAGAGGCUAUGGAUUUGUUCCAGAGUAAGAUACAUCAGGUUUGACCAGCCAAGACCCCCUGAAAGGUCUCCGAUGACACCAUGGCCCAGAUGAUCCAACAUCCAGAACCGUUUCAAGACAACUGGCUCAGAUGAUACAGCCUCACGGACUACUCCAUGAUCCUAAAAUUUUCUUUGUUUCCCCAGAAGAUACAGCGCCCCCCUCCAGCAGGAAGUAGUAAGAGAAACUACGCCCAAAUUCCCAAAUAUACCAAGCUGACUUUGGAGAUGUAUAAAGGUUAAAACCUUCCUUUUUAAGAAAAGAAAAGGGGAGGUGCUGUGGGAUGGUCUGUAUGUCAAAUGUGUUGCUGAUUGGUCAAUGAAUAAAUCACUGAUUGGCCCGUGGCCAGGCAGGAAGUAUAGGCGGGACUAACAGAGGAAAAUUGAGAGAACAGGAAGCUGGAGGGGAGACACUGCCAGCCGCCAUCAGGACAAGGAAGAUGUAAAGUACCGGUAAGCCACAAGCCACGUGGCAAGGUAUAGAUUAAUAGAAAUGGAUUAAUUUAAGCUGUAAGAACAGUUAGCAAGAAGCCUGCCACGGCCAUACAGUUUGUAACCAAAAUAAGUCUCUGUGUUUACUUGAUCGGGUUUGAGCGGCUUGGGACUGGCGGGUGAGAGAGAUUUGCCCUGACUGUGGGCCAGGCAGAAAAACUCUA
This is a long non-coding RNA of Peromyscus californicus insignis, 3496 nucleotides long. RefSeq lists it as uncharacterized. The transcript is spliced from 3 exons. NCBI's taxonomy places the organism in Eukaryota, Metazoa, Chordata, Mammalia, Rodentia, Cricetidae. The record is from RefSeq and is a predicted model, not a curated record.